GCAGAAGAGGCGGCUGCAAGAGGAGCUGGAGGCUGCGGCACAGGUGGAAAAGGGGCUGCGGGAGCAGAGCGAGGCGCUGAGCCGGGAGCUGCAGGCGGUGCAGAGCCGACGCGAUGCCCUUCAGGCUCAGCUCCAGGAGCGCUCCCAGGAGCAGGAGGAGCUGCGGCAGCGCUUGGAGGCGGCUGAGAGCACGCAGGGGGACACGGAGCAGCGCCUGCGGCAGGCACAGGUCACAGCUCCCAGCCCACAUUCUUCCUCCGUGCCCCCAUUUCUUCAUCCCCCCGCUCCAAAUCCUCAUUUCCAACCCCUGCGCUUCCAAGUUUUCCUUCUGUGCCCUUCA
This is a long non-coding RNA of Lagopus leucura (white-tailed ptarmigan), 340 nucleotides long. RefSeq lists it as uncharacterized. The transcript is spliced from 3 exons. Lineage: Eukaryota; Metazoa; Chordata; Aves; Galliformes; Phasianidae. The record is from RefSeq and is a predicted model, not a curated record.